Molecule: ribosomal RNA, 96 nt
Filed under: uncultured bacterium
Lineage: Bacteria
Description: partial 16S ribosomal RNA
Source: RNAcentral
UACACACCGCCCGUCACACCAUGGGAGUGGGUCCACCAGAAGUAGUUAGCCUAACGCAAGAGGGCGACUACCACGGUGAGAGUUCAUGACUGGGUG